GGGGGGAAGGCAGGCAGCGGCAAGGCACGGAGAGCAAGCCUGCUGCCAGGAGCCCGAGGAAGCAGACAGCCCCCAUCCUGGGCACCACCCUGCAGAAGGAAGCUGCCCUUAAGUACCUCCCACAUCCUCCCGCCGGACCUCGGAGCCGCCGUGUCCCCGCCACUCCCAGGGGUGCAGCACAGCAUGCAGCCUGCCCUGCCACGCAGAGCUUCGGGACAGCUGCCCACGGCUCCCUCUCCAAAGGCAAGCAGAGGCAGC
Molecule: long non-coding RNA, 258 nt
Organism: Rhea pennata
Lineage: Eukaryota; Metazoa; Chordata; Aves; Rheiformes; Rheidae
Exons: 3
Source: RefSeq, a predicted model, not a curated record